This is a long non-coding RNA of Bicyclus anynana (squinting bush brown), 495 nucleotides long. RefSeq lists it as uncharacterized. The transcript has 2 exons. Lineage: Eukaryota; Metazoa; Arthropoda; Insecta; Lepidoptera; Nymphalidae. The record is from RefSeq and is a predicted model, not a curated record.
CUAGCCAUGAUUGAGUCCCGUUAGUAUCCACGCGGUGCUAUGUGCAAUUCGAUAUUUCUCGGACUUUUACUCGUAUUAGUAUUAAUUUGAUUUAAUAUUGUAUGCAAAGUCAGUGUGUAAAGACAGUAACAUGUUAUUAUCGAGGACGCGGCCUAUUUCACGUGUUUAUGAAGACAUUGUCAAGGAGUCCUAGGAAGCUAUCUCCUGGCGGCUAGGCGGAUUUGCGGCAUCGAAAGGAGCAGAUGUAGACUGGAUACAAGAAAAAAGGAAAACACUGCGCUAACGAUCCUCCAAGGAAGAUACAAAUACUGUAAGAAAUAUUUAUGGAGGUUUUUCGGAAUGGAAUCCCCGAGGAAAGCGGCUGCGACCGAAUGCCCUCGGAAAAUGGCGGAAAACACGUUACAAAUCCCUCGCCACGCAUAAUUCUUAAUACUGGGAUUAAAGAAUAGCUUCUUAAAGCUUGGGUGCCAAAAGAAAGAUAACAAGCUAUUAGCA